RNAcentral lists this ribosomal RNA (435 nucleotides) under uncultured bacterium. RNAcentral describes it as "bacterial SSU rRNA". It matches the Rfam family "Bacterial small subunit ribosomal RNA", at positions 32 to 499 of the family's 1533-position model. The record is from RNAcentral.
AACGCUGGCGGCGUGCCUAACACAUGCAAGUCGAACGAGAAAGUGGAGCAAUCCAUGAGUAAAGUGGCGACCGGGUGAGUAACACGUGACUAACCUACCUCCGAGUGGGGAAUAACUCCGGGAAACCGGGGCUAAUACCGCAUAACAUCGCAAGAUCAAAGCAGCAAUGCGCUUGGAGAGGGGGUCGCGGCUGGUUAGCUAGUUGGCGGGGUAACGGCCCACCAAGGCGAAGAUCGGUAUCCGGCCUGAGAGGGCGCACGGACACACUGGAACUGAAACACGGUCCAGACUCCUACGGGAGGCAGCAGUGGGGAAUUUUGCGCAAUGGGGGAAACCCUGACGCAGCAACGCCGCGUGGAGGAUGAAGCCCUUUGGGGCGUAAACUCCUUUCGACCAAGACGAUAAUGACGGUACUGGUGGAAGAAGCACCGGCUA